UACGGAGGGUGCAAGCGUUAAUCGGAAUUACUGGGCGUAAAGCGCGCGUAGGCGGCUUUUUAAGUCAGAAGUGAAAUCCCACCGCUUACCGGUGGAAUUGCUUUUGAAACUGGAAGGCUUGAGUUCGUGAGAGGAUGGCGGAAUUCCUGGUGUAGGAGUGAAAUCCGUAGAGAUCAGGAGGAACCCCGGUGGCGAAGGCGGCCAUCUGGCACGAUACUGACGCUGAGGUG
Molecule: ribosomal RNA, 230 nt
Filed under: uncultured microorganism
Description: partial 16S ribosomal RNA
Rfam family: Bacterial small subunit ribosomal RNA
Source: RNAcentral